This 472-nucleotide ribosomal RNA is filed under the name uncultured bacterium. Its description in RNAcentral is "bacterial SSU rRNA". It matches the Rfam family "Bacterial small subunit ribosomal RNA", at positions 335 to 800 of the family's 1533-position model. The record is from RNAcentral.
ACUCCUACGGGAGGCAGCAGUGGGGAAUAUUGCACAAUGGGCGCAAGCCUGAUGCAGCCAUGCCGCGUGUAUGAAGAAGGCCUUCGGGUUGUAAAGUACUUUCAGCAGUGAGGAAGGUGGGUAUGUUAAUAGCAUAUUCAUUUGACGUUAGCUGCAGAAGAAGCACCGGCUAACUCCGUGCCAGCAGCCGCGGUAAUACGGAGGGUGCGAGCGUUAAUCGGAAUUACUGGGCGUAAAGCGCAUGCAGGUGGUUUGUUAAGUCAGAUGUGAAAGCCCGGGGCUCAACCUCGGAAUUGCAUUUGAAACUGGCAAACUAGAGUACUGUAGAGGGGGGUAGAAUUUCAGGUGUAGCGGUGAAAUGCGUAGAGAUCUGAAGGAAUACCGGUGGCGAAGGCGGCCCCCUGGACAGAUACUGACACUCAGAUGCGAAAGCGUGGGGAGCAAACAGGAUUAGAACCCUGGUAGGCUCUGC